RNAcentral lists this ribosomal RNA (230 nucleotides) under uncultured bacterium. RNAcentral's name for it is "partial 16S ribosomal RNA". It matches the Rfam family "Bacterial small subunit ribosomal RNA", at positions 335 to 579 of the family's 1533-position model. The record is from RNAcentral.
ACUCCUACGGGAGGCAGCAGUGGGGAAUCUUAGACAAUGGGGGAAACCCUGAUCUAGCCAUGCCGCGUGAGCGAUGAAGGCCUUAGGGGUUGUAAAAGCUCUUUCAGCUUGGGAAGAUAAUGACGGUACCAGCAGAAGAAGCCCCGGCUAACUCCGUUGCCAGCAGCCGCGGUAAUACGGAGGGGCUAGCGUUGUUCGGAAUUACUGGGCGUAAAGCGCACGUAGGCGGA